CAAACUAAACCCUCUAGGGUUCUCUCCCAAAACGAUUCUUCAUCUCUUCCGUCGACUCCUCCAUCCAAACCCUAAUGGCGACUCCGGUCACACGCUCCACUCCGGUCUCUCAUCUUCUUCAAAUUAAUUACUAACUAGCAAUUACUGGUGUACUAAUUACUACCAACGAUGAAAUCUAAAUAAUUCCCAAAAAUCAAAUUGUUUCCCUUAAUUAUUUACAUAUUUCAUUGAUUUACCAAUUUAAUUGUACUUAUAUAUAUUGGAGACGCCGCAGAGGGCACCAUGUAGAGAGAAGCAUGAGCUGGAAGUCGAGGCAGCGACGAAGACGGGGGAGACAACUGUGGAAGGAACCUCGGACCGGUGGAGUUGAAUCAAGCGACCAUACACGAUUGUUGAUGGUGGAGUCACUAUUGGGUCUGGUCCAUCAUACCCACACCAUGAAUGUUAUAAAAAUUCUAAAGAAUUAAUUUGAC
Molecule: long non-coding RNA, 473 nt
Filed under: Zostera marina
Lineage: Eukaryota; Viridiplantae; Streptophyta; Magnoliopsida; Alismatales; Zosteraceae
Description: long non-coding RNA (ZMAR_LNC002294)
Source: RNAcentral